Long non-coding RNA from Mustela lutreola (European mink), 3082 nucleotides. RefSeq lists it as uncharacterized. The record is from RefSeq and is a predicted model, not a curated record. The transcript has 2 exons. Lineage: Eukaryota; Metazoa; Chordata; Mammalia; Carnivora; Mustelidae.
AGAACUGUCCUAAAUCUCCUUGCUUCCUUGCACCAAGAGAGGUCUUGGGCCUCUGAACCCCAUUUCCCCCAGUCUCCCCUGCCUCCCCUUGCUGCUUGUCCCAGCAUCUUGGUGGAAAGAAUGCUGGUCCCUGUGCUCCUCGCUGAGCAGCUGGAAGCCUGCCAAAAACACAGAAGCAAAUGGCCUUUUAUAAAUUAUUUUUGAAAUAAACCUCUGUGUUCCUGGUGUCUUCCCUGCAGCGGAUGGAGGGGAAACAGGGUGGAGGGAUUCCCCAAGCUGGGAGUUUUGUCUGAUACAAAUGGAGGGCUCUGUGCCAGGCCUUGGGUUCACAUCCACCUACAGCUACGUUAGGGCGCCCCCAGGAACCUGUGUGCUCCUCUGUGUUGGUCUGUCUUACCCGCAGUAUCUCAUGUAUGCGAUGGUCUGAAUGAGCAUACACACGGCACUCUCCACCGGGUGAAACUCUUGUACCCUCUGCACAUGCGUGUGCAUGUGCCUGCCCAUAGACUGUCCCUAAGGGAGCUGGCAGCACCCCUCCCCCAUCUGCUCAGCAUUAACCAAGCUGACUGUUAACACAGCGUGAAAGCCUGAAACCUAGCUUCGAGGCUGCUGCCUGCUCCCACACUCUGCUGCUCAGACUGGGGGCUAGUGGGGGCUGUGCCCGCCCCACCCCACCCCACCCCACCCUGGCCAGUCUCCCAGGCAGCAGCUGGUUGCCGCCCGGCUAGGCUGCAGCUGUCCCUGCCUGCCUGGUCCUCCCCUGGAGAGGCCGUCAUGGCCCUGUUCUCAAACACCCUCUGGGGGGAGCAGGGAGAUCAGCUUCCCAGGGCUCUGAGCCUGGAACCUUCGCUGGGGCCAUCUAAGCAGUUACUGCUACUCUCCAGCCCCUGAACCAUAGGGUGGGGGUACCUGACCCGGUGCCUGGGGGUCCCUCCUGCCCUGUCCUCUCGUAGGACAGGACAGACCCAUUGUGAGGGCCACCUGGAUUACCCCAUAGCCUUCCAGGGGGUGGCAGCUGAAAAUAUAGAUAGAGUCAGAAGGGCCUGGAUCUAAGAAUCUGAGGCUGGGCUGUCCUGGCAGACUUGAGCAGCGGCUCAUGGCCAUGCUUCUCUUCUUGCUGUGGGUAGGUUUCUUCGCACCUCCACCUGUGCACUCUCCUUCUGACUGAGCCCCCCCACCAAACCUACUCUCCCACUGGAAGUCACUGUGCCCAGCCCAGUCAAUCAUGGACAGGCAGGUCCCUAAGAAUCCAGCAGGGGAAGAAAGGGUUGGGAGACCAGAGCAGUGGAUAAAGACAGGGAUGACAAAUGAGAACUCCAUUUUUCCACUUCCCCACUGUGAACCCCACUGCUGAGCUACCCUCAGCCACCCACCACUACCCCUCACACAGCCUCACCAGACAACCAUCUUCCCAACUUAAGGAUGGUGAAAUGGAAUGUGACAGGCCCAAGGUCACAAGGAUGGGGAACUGAGGAAGGAGCUGAAUUGACCCCUCCAUUCCCCCAAGUCCAGGCUCCCGGCAGGUCCUGUGCACAUGGGAGACCAGAGUCAGGUCACUCAGAGUGACAGGGGCAGAUGGUGCUUGGUAGGUCUCGGGGGCCAGGAGGGCUCAGCUACCCACCCUGUGCCCCCUCCCAGCCAGCAUCCCUGGCAGGCGCACACUUGCCACAUUCCUGACAUCCCAAGUCAGAAUGAGACAGAUGCUGCUAAUUCCCCCUUGCGAGCUUUCCUGCUCCAUCUCCCCUCCCCCAGGCCUCUCGGAUGGCAUGGCAGCAUCUGGAGCCUGGUCCCCUCAGUCUGCCAGAGUUCUGAGCAGCCUCCUAGCCAGUGAUACCGGCCUUGGGAGCUUGCAGAAAAAGCACUGGGUCACCUCUGGACUCGGCUACUUGCUGGCUAUGUGUAUUAGUCAGGGCUCUGGUGGGAGCAGCAGAUAGAUAGCGGCCCUGAUCUCAAAAGUCCAAGCCAGAGAACAGGAGGUGCUGGGAGGGAAGGUCAGGUUGUCCACUGUGUGAGUGCUGGGGCUGGGGGAUGGGGGAAGUACUAUGACCAAAGCUACUCUCUCAGAGCCUGAAACACAGGAAUGAUGACAUGUCUGAGAAUGGUUGGAAGUGUUCAGUCAACAAUGGUUGUUGUUGCUCAAGGAUUAGGAGGGAAUGGCCCCCCGGGCCGGGUUGCCAUGAUCUCAUUCCCUCCUCAUGGCAGCCCUUCCUGGAAAGCAUUUUUGUUCCUGUUGCCCAGAUGAGGACACCAAGACUCAGAAGAAAGAAAGCUCAUUCCCACAGCCCUGAAUGCCUGGUGUUCGGAGAACCAGGAAAGCCUCUGGGUUUGCAUGAAGCAGGAGACAUCGGCUACUAGAAUGUCCAUGUACCUGGGUAGAUGACAUUCACGACGCCCCAGCACAGAACUCCAGCCCUAUGGCCUUCACCCAUGCUACCUCACAUGGGCUGCUCCCCCAGGGGAACACACUUCUUGGGACACACACUACCUCACUGUCCCCUGGCCAGACCCUGUUCAUCCUGCAGUUCUCACUCAAACCACAUUUCUCCAAGAAGCCUCCUCUUCCUGCUGAGCCCCCCUCUUCAGAGGCUAAAGAGGAAAUGCUCUCAAUAGUCUCCUUCCCCAAAACUGAACAGCAGGAAGUAAGCACUGCUUUCAUAGGCAAGGAGAGAGAGAGAGAAUCUCAGGUGGCCUCCACCUUCAGUGUGAGCCCCAUGACCCAGAGGUCACAGCCUGAGCUGAAACCAAGUGUUGGAUGAUCAGCUGACUGAGCCACGCAGGAGCCCCUGUUUUAUUUAUUUUUUUUAAGUAGCCUCUCACACCCAAUGUAGAGCCCAACGCAGGGCUUGAACUCACAAUCCUGGAUCAAGAUCUGAGCUGAGGGGCACCUGGGUGGCUCAGUCAUUAAACAUCUCCCUUUAGCUUAGGUCAUGAUCCCAGGGUCCUGGGAUCGAGCCCCGCAUCGGGCUCCCUGCUCGGCAGGAGCCUGCUGUCCCUCUCCUGGUCCCCCUGCUUGUGUUCCCUCUCUCGCUGUGUCUCUCCCUGGUAAACAAACAAAUAAAAUCUUAAACAAGAAAAGAAAAAA